Pyrus x bretschneideri (Chinese white pear) is the source of this 809-nucleotide long non-coding RNA. RefSeq lists it as uncharacterized. The record is from RefSeq and is a predicted model, not a curated record. NCBI's taxonomy places the organism in Eukaryota, Viridiplantae, Streptophyta, Magnoliopsida, Rosales, Rosaceae. The transcript is spliced from 2 exons.
ACAUACUUGUCGCUUCAGUUUAUUUGGAGCAUUUACCUUGAGCCCGAGAUUUCGAGCUCGACCACCCCCUAAUAUGGCUUGUAAAACAAUCUUUAUGCGCUGUGUGGGCCUUAUGGACUAGGCCUAUAUACCUUCACCAAAAGGCCCAUUUACAUAUUCAUUGUUUUGGGCUCUUCUUGUAUUUUUGCCUUCAACCCCAAACAAAGCACCGAAUCGAUAGAAGAAAAAUGGUGAGGAACUCAGGGGUAGCCAUGGCAAGGCAAUUGCUCGGCAAUUGCAGCGCUUCUUCAUCGUCACAACCUUCCUUCCAAUUCUUUCCAAACCCUGGCUUCUUCAAUCCCCACCGCACCAUCUCCGCCGCCCACAGCAGCUCCUUCCACCUCCAAACCCUUCUCCAAUUCCCUCCAUCACUUCCCAAACCCUCACGUUCUCCAACUCCGACCUCUCUGCUCGCCCUCAGCCUACAUUCCAAUUCUUUAUAGACGGGAAGAAGGUGGCUCAAGUUGUUGGUGCUAAUGUUGCUUGCUUGAGAAACACUUUUGGAAGUUUGGGAAAUACGACCUACUAUUGGAAAACAAUAUAGUCAAGUCCUAAGUUCUUGUCUUGAUAACGGACAAAAUGAUUUGAACUUGUGACCUCGUGUAAUAUUAUGAAAGAAAAUUAUUAAAACAAUAAUUUCUGGGUUACUGCAUGUCCUGGGAGCUACAACCGCAACAACUCCGUGGUUGACGUAUUAUUGUAGCACAUCGCAUUGAUUACACCUGUUGAUUGAUUUGGAAGAUGAAAUUGAUAUGAUGGUGUUACAAACG